CAACAGUCCUUCCUGCCGUCCUGCAGAAGUCAGGGGGAGGGGGAGCCUGAGGAAGAAUAAUACCUGAUAGGUGUGAAACAUCACUGAGUUUCAAGUUCUCUUCCGUGGUUUGACAAUGGCCGGCCCCCUCUGGUGGUAGGCUGGAAUCCGAUGGCCCCACCACAGCUGCCGGGAGACACACCAGUCCCUGCCGAGAAGCCAUGAGCGAUUUCUCAGAACAACCAGUACUCUACCACAUCCCCGGAACGACUGAAAGGGAGACAGGGCGAGUCCACCGCUGCUCCGACCCUGGACCUUUCCCCCAGGGACAUGGGCCCUCCUGUGCCAGGCCCUCAGUACGGAGAACACAGCAGCAAAUAAACUGACACAGAGCUUCUCUUCUAGUGGAAGGAGUGCACAACCCACCCUACUGUCACUCUUAAGCUCCACCCAUUCCCUUCUGGGGGUGGUCCUAAGUAAAGGAGUUAAAACGG
This is a non-coding RNA of Equus caballus (horse), 473 nucleotides long. NCBI's taxonomy places the organism in Eukaryota, Metazoa, Chordata, Mammalia, Perissodactyla, Equidae. The record is from RefSeq and is a predicted model, not a curated record.